GGAUGUAAGGGCAAUCUGGCUGUGACAUCUGUCACCCCAUUGAUCACCAGCAUUGUUAAUGGCUGAUCUGGCUGGCUAGGUGGGUGUCCCCUUCCUCCCUUACGGCUUCAUGUGUGUCCCUCCCAAAGCUGUGCCCUCAGGUGAAUAGGCAGACCUUCCCAGUGGAGGAGUAUCAUUCUUUGGUCAAGGGUAUGCAAGUAACUGUGCUACCUGCUAGAAACUCCAGGUAAGCUCUCAGGGUCCAUUUGUGAGACAAUGUAGGGUAGUUAGGCUUCCAAGACUCCAGACACAUCCAAAUGAGGCACUAUAUGUGGCACUCUGCUGUUCUUA
This is an unclassified non-coding RNA of Mustela putorius furo (domestic ferret), 330 nucleotides long. Its record names the gene 7SK. It matches the Rfam family "7SK RNA". Rfam says of the family: 7SK was discovered as an abundant small nuclear RNA in the mid-70s but a possible function has only recently been suggested. Two independent studies have found that 7SK RNA binds the CDK9/cyclin T complex (known as elongation factor P-TEFb). P-TEFb activates transcription by phosphorylating the C-terminal domain of RNA polymerase II. NCBI's taxonomy places the organism in Eukaryota, Metazoa, Chordata, Mammalia, Carnivora, Mustelidae. The record is from Ensembl.